ACUACAGAAAAUCGCAUGGCUCUGAACGGAAAAUGAAUUACUCUUACUAGCUGUUGCAAAAUUUCAUGUGCCAUGGCUAAUUGUUUGUGCAAAAAGAUUUUGAUUUGCACAAUAGUGACUCAUCUUUUGUUCACACAGAGUCCGUGUUGGCCGAGUACCUCUUGAACUGCCCCCCCUGCGUUGGCAAAAUAAGCGCACUUGAAAAAACACUAAGAUGCUAUGCAGAAAAGAAGAGGGAAACUGUUGUAAUCCCUACUGUCGGAGACAACUUUGAUUCCCUUGCAUAAGCAUACAACUACUACAAUCUAUAUUCUUGGGAAAUUAGGUUCGGAGUUAGAUACGGAAAAAAGCAGAUUAAAUGUCGAGAGAACAAAAUGUAUGCAAGAAAUAGUUUGCGGCUACUCAGUUAGUAAUUCUUUCCAAUUCCAGCCAUGAACAUACUCUGCCAAUGUUCUUAUAUACAGAAAAAUAGAAUUCUCUGUUAACUCAUGUAUUGUUGGUUGCGACAAAAAACAAAUUGCAGGGUGUACCAAAAAGAAGUAACACACGGUCUUGCUGAUGUAGAUGCCCAUCAAUGAUAAGGUUGCUACGCUCAAAGGACAACGGGUGGUACAUCAACGAGCACAGGACACUCCACAAUCACUCUCUGACAGAUAAGUGUGGACAGAAAAUAUGCUGCCACUCGCAUAGACAUAUCGACAUUUACACACGAGAUGUUAUCAAGCAGUUGCAUGAAAAUAAUAUUAGCAUUGGCAAAGUGUACAACAUAAUUGGCAGUUUCUUUGGCUCCAUGAGCAGUGUGCCUUUCAGCAAGAGAGCUUUGAGGGGGCUUUGUGGAGAGAUUAGCCGAGAUCAGGCAGACGAUGACAUCAGAAAGUUUUUGCUGAGUUGGGAUCCAAAGAUUCUGGGUUGUAUACAGAGUACAACGGGAUGCGGACAGCCGCAUACGAAAUCUGCUAUGGUCGACAGGCGCAAGCAGGGCACAAUACCAUUACCUUGGAGAUGCAAUAACUUUUGAUACAACAUACCGUACAAACAUGUCCUUGAUGUCCUUGGAAUGGAUCAGAUACCAGCAAGCACAUUCUCAAACGCUGGACAAAGGAUGCAAGGGAUGUGUUGCCAGAACAUCUGGCACACCUUCAGAAAGAUAAGAUUAGUCUCAACUCAAUAACAUUCAGACCCUCGAAUCUAUACACUCAUGCCCUUGAAGUUGUCCGGCUUGGUGAUGCCAACACAUCGACAUAUGAAUGUGCAAUGGAUAUACUGAAGAAAGCAAUGGAUACACUGACGUCCAUGGCCAGCGUGCGUGACGGGAUGGGGCUUGAAGACAGAAUGCAUUCAGAUAAGGGGAAAGAAAAAGAGCCGAUUCCAGCACAUCCAGCAGAAAGUCACAGAGAGAGUGAUGCCGAAGGUAGUGCAGUUGGGAAUUUCAUCAGCUUAAAGCCUCCAGAACGAAAGCGUAAACCAGGCCGACCAACUACCUGCUGGGACAAGCCUCCGUAUGAUGAUCGAGGCGCAAAGAGCAAAAAAUGCAAGCAAGCCCCAUAUGGAAAAGCUCCUGAUGGUUGUGGGACAAGCAAACAUACUCGUUUCUGCAGUAUAUGCCAUGGGGCAGGUCACAUGAGUACUACACAUGUCCACACAGGGGUGAUCUUCCUGGCAAAGAAAGGAAGGAGGCAAAAUGCUCAAACUGCGGUGUUGGCGGACACAAGAAGAACACCUGCAACAAACCCAAAGUGGCGUUGCAUGCUGUUGAAAAUGCAACUUUGGAUCAGCUUUCCAUUUAGAAAUCCUGUAGUCUGUUGUGUUGUGGAUGGUUCCGUAGGCGUAAGGGUUCUGCAGUGUCUUGUAAUGUUGAGGGCUCCGUGUCCAUUAAUCAGUAAAACUAUUCCAAUAAUAAAAGACUGCCAUUUAUCAA
This is a long non-coding RNA of Triticum aestivum (bread wheat), 1918 nucleotides long. RefSeq lists it as uncharacterized. The record is from RefSeq and is a predicted model, not a curated record. NCBI's taxonomy places the organism in Eukaryota, Viridiplantae, Streptophyta, Magnoliopsida, Poales, Poaceae. The transcript has 2 exons.